Molecule: ribosomal RNA, 805 nt
Filed under: uncultured bacterium
Lineage: Bacteria
Description: bacterial SSU rRNA
Rfam family: Bacterial small subunit ribosomal RNA
Source: RNAcentral
AGAGGUUGAUCCUGGCUCAGAUUGAACGCUGGCGGCAGGCCUAACACAUGCAAGUCGAGCGGAUGAAGGGAGCUUGCUCCUGGAUUCAGCGGCGGACGGGUGAGUAAUGCCUAGGAAUCUGCCUGGUAGUGGGGGAUAACGUCCGGAAAACGGGCGCUAAUUCCGCAUACGUCCUGAGGGAGAAAAGUGGGGGAUCUUCGGACCUCACGUUAUCAGAUGAGCCUAGGUCGGAUUAGCUAGUUGGUGGGGUAAAGGCCUACCAAGGCGACGAUCCGUAACUGGUCUGAGAGGAUGAUCAGUCACACUGGAACUGAGACACGGUCCAGACUCCUACGGGAGGCAGCAGUGGGGAAUAUUGGACAAUGGGCGAAAGCCUGAUCCAGCCAUGCCGCGUGUGUGAAGAAGGUCUUCGGAUUGUAAAGCACUUUAAGUUGGGAGGAAGGGCAGUAAGUUAAUACCUUGCUGUUUUGACGUUACCAACAGAAUAAGCACCGGCUAACUUCGUGCCAGCAGCCGCGGUAAUACGAAGGGUGCAAGCGUUAAUCGGAAUUACUGGGCGUAAAGCGCGCGUAGGUGGUUCAGCAAGUUGGAUGUGAAAUCCCCGGGCUCAACCUGGGAACUGCAUCCAAAACUACUGAGCUAGAGUACGGUAGAGGGUGGUGGAAUUUCCUGUGUAGCGGUGAAAUGCGUAGAUAUAGGAAGGAACACCAGUGGCGAAGGCGACCACCUGGACUGAUACUGACACUGAGGUGCGAAAGCGUGGGGAGCAAACAGGAUUAGAUACCCUGGUAGUCCACGCCGUAAA